This 378-nucleotide unclassified non-coding RNA is filed under the name uncultured Actinomycetes bacterium. RNAcentral's name for it is "uncultured actinobacterium contains 16S-23S intergenic spacer region". Lineage: Bacteria; Bacillati; Actinomycetota; Actinomycetes. The record is from RNAcentral.
UCCGAGUUGACCCCGGCAGUCUCCUGCGAGUCCCCGCCAUUACGCGCUGGCAACACAGGACAAGGGUUGCGCUCGUUGCGGGACUUAACCCAACAUCUCACGACACGAGCUGACGACAACCAUGCACCACCUGUGAACCGGCCCCAAAGGGGAAACCACAUUUCUGCGGCGAUCCGGUGCAUGUCAAGCCUUGGUAAGGUUCUUCGCGUUGCAUCGAAUUAAUCCGCAUGCUCCGCAGCUUGUGCGGGCCCCCGUCAAUUCCUUUGAGUUUUAGCCUUGCGGCCGUACUCCCCAGGCGGCGGACUUACUGCGUUAGCGCCGGCACGGAGGGGGUCAACUCCCCCCACACCUCGUCCGCAUCGUUUACUGCGUGGACUA